RNAcentral lists this ribosomal RNA (441 nucleotides) under uncultured bacterium. RNAcentral describes it as "partial 16S ribosomal RNA". It matches the Rfam family "Bacterial small subunit ribosomal RNA", at positions 339 to 795 of the family's 1533-position model. The record is from RNAcentral.
CUACGGGUCGCUGCAGCCGAGAAUAUUCCACAAUGGGCGAAAGCCUGAUGGAGCGACGCCGCGUGCAGGAAGAAGUUCUUCGGAAUGUAAACUGCUUUUAUGAGGGAAAAACUUUGAUAUUACCUCAUGAAUAAGGGGUUGCUAAGCUCGUGCCAGCAGCAGCGGUAAUACGAGUACCCCAAGCGUUAUCCGGAUUUAUUGGGCGUAAAGCAUCUGUAGUUGGUUUGAAUAGUCAAGAUGACAAAGCCCGGUGCUUAACACCGGAUCUUCAUUUGAAACGUUCAUACUAGAGCAUGUAAGAGGCAAACGGAACUUUCGGUGUAGGAGUGAAAUCCGUUGAUAUCGUAGGGAACACCAAAAGCGAAGGCAGUUUGCUGGGACAUUGCUGACAAUGAGAGACGAAAGCGUGGGUAGCGAAUGGGAUUAGAUACCCGUGUAGUC